GAAUAAUACUCAUUUAAUCCUCUUCUUUAGGCUUAAUUGACUUAAGAACUUCAUCCCUAAUCUUAUCUCCCACUCCUCGUGCUAGUAGACUACUAUUGGUCUUAUCAAAAAUAGCGUGGCCAUAAGAUGUGAGCCUAUCACCUAUAGACAACAUAAAAGUGUACUUCAUUGCACUUGCUAAACGAUGAUCCCAUUCAUUUUUAAGCAACAAUUGUAAAUCCUUAUAUGUCUUACUUAUUUCAACAUUUUUUCAAAAGUAUUUUAUAAUUUCAAAUCAAUCUUGUGGUAGAGUUUCUGCAAGCAGAUUUACUUUCAUAUUUUGAUAUUCUUUGAGUAUUCAAUAUCUAUUUGUAUUUAUUGUCCAGGUGGGUAAUAUGCUCAACCAGAUCAAAAUCUGAAUUCACCUCCUCUUUUUUAUACAAGCAAAUCAACUUACAUUCAAACUUUCUAAUUACAUAAAGUAGUUUAAGAAUUAUUUUGGUUCUCUUUAGGUGUGCCAUCUGUACAAAAUAAAUUCGUACGCACGUCAAAGAACAAUUGGCAAAAAAACUCCAUAUUUAAAAUCUAAAUAUAUAAAGGAUGUAAAUAUAUAAAAACAUUUAGAUAUAUGAAACAUAUAAACAAAAUAUUAUUCUUAUUAUUAUUUAAAUUAAAAUUAUAUUUUAAAUCUUUUUAUUUAAUCUCACGGCUCGCGCUCGCAUGCGAAUGCACAGCAUCAGGCAUCAAUACAUGCAUGCUAUGUGGAUGUGCUGUAUCUAGGAGGUGUAAAUGGAUUUGAUCGAAUCAGAUCAUGAGUAACCUCGAUCCGACCCAAUCCCUUGAUUGGAUCCUAAUAUUAGACCUAGAUCCAAUCCAAUUAAAAAUCAGAUCGGAUCGGAUCCAUAAUCAAAAAGUCUGUCCCAUUAGAUCAUUUGAGUCGAAUUGGGUCCAUGUAUAAUUCGACCUCAAUCUAAAAAUUUUGGAUCCGGUUCGGAUUUUGUUCGUAUGAUAAACCAAUAUAUACAAAGUUUAUGACAAAAGAAAAUAAAUAUUACUUUACCUUGACUAUUAAUUUAUAAGUAAUUUCUCAAAAUCUCAUAGUCAAAUUAAGUAAAACUGUAUGAAAAAUAACAAUACUACAAGAACAUUUAGAAUUCUAAUCCCAUUUUAUUUAUUCUAUAGUUUACAUAUUAGAUUCAAUACUGAAUUCGGAUCGGAUCGGAUCGGAUCCGAAUUCAGAAAAUCCAGACCUGAUCCAAAAUAUUGAACGGAUCCAAUUUUAGAACCCGAUCCGACCCCGUGAGUCCUUUAAAACGGAUUGGAUUGGGUCUAAGUGGAUCGGGCUGGGUUGGGUCACGGGUCGACCCGAACCAUUUGCAGCCUUAGCUAUAUCCAAGCACAAAUACGCGCUCCUUUUAUACGUGAGCCAUCAACCCUUCAUAAUUAUCGUGUCCUCUUUUAUUAUUAUUAUCUGUGGAAAGAGUCCACCGUGGUGGUUUGCCACUGAGGCCUUCGCGCAUCACCGAUGCAUUGUACUGCAGCUAUGGGUGGCCAUCAGGUCGGAUCAGGUCAUAAAUAGAUCGGAUCAGAAAAUGAUCAAUCCAAAUUCAAUCUGUUUAUUAAAUGGUUCAAAAAUUCAAAUCUGAAUCCGACCUAUUUAUUAAAUAAGUAACCCAAUCCGAUUCGUUUAAUCCAUUUAUUAAAUAUAUCAAAUUAGAUUAAACGGG
RNAcentral lists this long non-coding RNA (1706 nucleotides) under Elaeis guineensis (African oil palm). Its description in RNAcentral is "long non-coding RNA (EGUI_LNC034791)". The record is from RNAcentral. Lineage: Eukaryota; Viridiplantae; Streptophyta; Magnoliopsida; Arecales; Arecaceae.